Molecule: long non-coding RNA, 1909 nt
Filed under: Mytilus galloprovincialis (Mediterranean mussel)
Lineage: Eukaryota; Metazoa; Mollusca; Bivalvia; Mytilida; Mytilidae
Source: RNAcentral
CAUGUAUUUAUAUCUAAUUGUUAUUCUACAAACAAAGUUCUUGUCAUUGAAAAUCCUAGUAAUCAUUGGUGUUACAAUAUUUAUUUUUUCAUUUUCAAUAAAUCAUGAGAGAAAUUUAUCAUCAAUUUUGCUAGGAGCCACAACAGUAUUGUAGUAUGUUGUUACACAUAUCAGUCCAAAACCACUUUCUAUAUGUUUUUAUUGUAUUAUUGUCUGAUGUUUGUUAUAUAUUUACCUUUUAAAGUCUAUAUUUGUAGAAAGAUGUGAAUAUCCUAAUCAAAAUACUGCCAUCCUGGGUUAUUCAUGGCCUAUUUUAUAGCUGUGUUAGAUUUAUAUAUAUAUUAUGUUGUGCCAAUAUACUUUAAAGAACUAAUUUUGUUUGAUAUUUUUUUUGAUAAUACAAUUGCAAAAUAGAAUCUAUACUAUAGAUUUGAAUUUUUAAGUAAAGCAGAAUUAGGAACAAGAUAAGGGCAAAAAAAUAAUACUAAAUAACAAAUAAAUGGCUGGACCUUAGAAAUUGUAAUAAUUGGGAAAAAAAAGUUUUAUUUAUGAUAUUUUUUCUAAAACUUUAUUUUGUGGAAAAAAAACCUUUGUACUGUGGAUACUUCUGAUGAUAAGUUGUUCCAUUAUAUUAAAUGUAAUCAACGAUUUUGAAAGAGUUCAUUUAGGUGGUACUUAACGCUACAGGGAGAUAACUCUGUUAAAUCAGCUGAACGUUUUAAUCACAUUCUUUUAUCAAGAAAACAUGAAGCUUCUAAAUUAUCAAAAUUAAUGAUGUCAAACUGCUAUGUAUCAAACCAAUUUUUUUCUGAUAAUGUGUUUGGUUCAGGUUUUUUGAAGUUUUUGUCAUAGGGUCAAAGUAAAUAUUUUGUCAAAAUAUUAUGAAAAUUAAAGGAGCCCAAUUAAUUUUAGACAAUGUUUAAAGUACCACCUUAAAUGAUAUUAAACCAAAUUAUAAUUCCUCUUUUUUUAUUUAAAUGAUCAAUGUGACUGUUAUUUGAUUUUUUGUUAUGAUUCUAUUCUAGGACAUGUAGGAGAUUGUAAUCUCUUUGGAUAAACUUUUGUAAAUCUCAUUUGCUUGUUGAAAUAUUAAUUUCAAAUGCCUCUAUAACCAUAGUUACAUUCUUUGAAAAUAAACCCUUAUUUCUUACAAUUUUAUUUUCAUAUUGUAUAGUUUAAAUAAUAUUUAAUAAAAUUUGUCAGGGAAUGAUUACUUAUUUUUUAUGUUACUCAGAGUCUCUGAUGUCAUAUAUCUGUGAAAUUAUGUUCCCAAAUUAUGUGGAUCAGUCUUUUUUUUCUUUUUUGGACAUGUUGUUUUAUGUAUUAGUUUGUGAUUAGGUCUGGUUUAUGCUGAACCACUAGUAGUAAGUCAAAGAUAUUUGGUAUGCAGUUGUAUUAGUAUUGCACAUCUCAUUACCAUGAAGAUUAUUUUGCCCUGCCCCCAAAGUUAUUGUCUAUUGACUUUGAAAUUUUGCUUAAUCUUUAUAUAUAUUUGUUUGUGAUUAAGUUAGUUUAUGAGGAACCACUAGUGGUAAGUUAACGAUAAUUGGUAUGCAGUUGUAUAAGCAUUCACAUAUCUCAUUUCCAUGGAGAUUUUUUGGCCCUGCCCCUUCAGUCAUGGUCUAUUUACUUUGAAAUAUUUGAUUAGUUUUCAUGUAUUAGUCUGCGAUUUGGUCCGUUUAUGGGGAACCACCAGUAGUUAGUUAAUGAUAAUUAGUAUGCAGUUGCAUAAGCAUUGAUAUAUCUCAUUUCCAUGGAGAUCAUUUUGCCCUACCUCCUCAGUCAUGGUCUAUUGACUUUAUAACUUUAAAGCAUAGUUUUUAUGUAUUAGUUUGUGAUUAGGUUGGUUUAUGGAAAAACACUAGUUGUAGGUCAAUGGUAUUUGGUAUGCAGUUGUUUCAGCAUUGGC